RNAcentral lists this ribosomal RNA (253 nucleotides) under uncultured bacterium. RNAcentral's name for it is "partial 16S ribosomal RNA". It matches the Rfam family "Bacterial small subunit ribosomal RNA", at positions 524 to 776 of the family's 1533-position model. The record is from RNAcentral.
UACAGAGGUCUCAAGCGUUGUUCGGAUUCAUUGGGCGUAAAGGGUGCGUAGGCGGCGCGGUAAGUCGGGUGUGAAAUCUUGGAGCUUAGCUCCGAAACUGCAUUCGAUACUGCCGUGCUUGAGGACUGGAGAGGAGACUGGAAUUUACGGUGUAGCGGUGAAAUGCGUAGAUAUCGUAAGGAAGACCAGUGGCGAAGGCGGGUCUCUGGACAGCUCCUGACGCUGAGGCACGAAGGCCAGGGGAGCAAACGGG